GAACUAGACAACAUUUUACCUGUAUGAAUAUUAACACUUCUUAAAAGGUGGGAGUGUUGAAUGAAAUUCAACCCGUUUGCGAUGUUAAAUGGGCGUGUAAAAGGCGUGUCCAAAAGUUAUGGGCGUAUCCAUCUGUGAUCACUGAUUGGAUCGAUGACCUCGCGAUACCCCCCGGCACGCCCAUAUACCUCCACACCGUGCAAUUAUUAAAGCACAGCCGCAGCCGAUUUCUACCGCAAAGUCAAGAAACAAACCGUCGAUGCAUAUCGUAUUUCAUUGAAAAUUGCACUUUCAAAUGAUUCGAAACAAGUCUAACCUUAGCCUAACAAUUCCAAGCUAGGAUUUGUCGUCUGUUAAUUGCUCAUCAUUUUUGCAUCAGGUUGUGAAUUCCAAUUUUAAUUUUCGGGUUUCUUGGCCAGGCCAAUUACAGUACAGCGCUGAACACCGUUGCGGAUCCCCGUCCGUAUACAAUACAGCGAUCGAUAAAAGAACAACCAUGAACGUCAAUGCACAGAGAAAGAAGAUAGGAGUGGCCCUGUUUGGCGUAGGGCGUGCUGGAGCCAUCCACAUCAAAUACCUUGCCAUCUGUCCUCGCGUCGAGCUAAGGUGGAUCGUGGAAGAGGACGUCGAGAAGGUCAAGCCCUACUUAGACCAGCUUUAUCUCUACGAUACUCCUGUCAUUUCUAACAAAGAAGCUGAUAAGGUGUGGAAUGACGAGAAGACUGAAGCGAUUGUAGUUUGUGUACCAACUUUACUUCAUGAAUCUAUCAUUCUGAAAGGACUUGAUAAGGCGAAGGCCGUAUUUGUGGAGAAACCAAUUGCUGUCAAGUUAGCUGACACCAGGGAAUGCUACCUCAAGGCUGCUAGGGUGGGCAAGCCUCUCUUAUGUGCUUUUAACAGGCGGUUUGAUCCAUCUAUCCGUAAGCUGAGACAGAGGGUACAGAAUGGGGAGAUAGGACAGGUCAGGUGUAUAAAGACGACGGCCAGGGAUGCCCCUUUUCCUCCUAUAGAAUACCUUAAAAUAUCAGGUGGAUUCUACCAUGACUGCGCUGUUCACGACAUCGACCUUGUUCUCUGGAUACUUGGUGAGAAACCAACCAGCAUCUUUGCUCAGGGCCACGCCUUCAACGACCAAAUCAAAGCCAUGAACGAUGUCGACCAGGCUGCCAUCGUCCUCAAGUUUCCGAGUGGUAUAAUCGCGACUAUCGACCUCAACCGUGAUGCUGUGUAUGGUUACGACCAGCGAAUAGAGGUUUUAGGAUCCAAAGGUAUGUUGCAAUCACAGAACAGAAUAGAGGCACCUCUCACAAAGCACAAUGAACAGGGAGAACUUCUAGAUCCGAUCUUCCCAUCAUUCCCUGAGCGCUACAGCCAGUCGUACUGCGAUGAGAUGGACCACUUCCUUGAUGCUGUAGAAGGUAGGUAUUUAUUUCCCAUCAUUCCCUGAGCGCUAUAGCCAGUCGUAGUGCGAUGAGAUGGACCACUUCCUUGAUGCUGUAGAAGGAAAGAUCGAGAAGUUGGAUGUGUCAAUGGAGGAUACAUUGAGUACAUCGUGGAUUGCU
This 1562-nucleotide unclassified non-coding RNA is filed under the name Lytechinus variegatus (green sea urchin). RNAcentral describes it as "uncharacterized oxidoreductase YrbE-like, transcript variant X1". The record is from RNAcentral. Lineage: Eukaryota; Metazoa; Echinodermata; Echinoidea; Temnopleuroida; Toxopneustidae.